RNAcentral lists this ribosomal RNA (253 nucleotides) under uncultured bacterium. RNAcentral describes it as "partial 16S ribosomal RNA". It matches the Rfam family "Bacterial small subunit ribosomal RNA", at positions 524 to 776 of the family's 1533-position model. The record is from RNAcentral.
UACAGAGGGUGCGAGCGUUAAUCGGAAUUACUGGGCGUAAAGCGCAUGUAGGUGGGAUAGUAAGUUUGAUGUGAAAGCCCCGGGCUUAACCUGGGAAUGGCGUUGAAUACUGUUAUUCUAGAGUUUGAUAGAGGGUCGUGGAAUUUCCGGUGUAGCGGUGAAAUGCGUAGAGAUCGGAAAGAACACCAGUGGCGAAGGCGGCGACCUGGAUCGAAACUGACACUGAGAUGCGAAAGCGUGGGGAGCAAACAGG